UGAAUAAUCGCGGUGGCAGGGCCCGAAAGGGUGCCACUGAGGAAAGUCCGGGCUUCAUAGGGCAGGAUGCCGGAUAACGUCCGGUGGAGGUGACUCCAAGGAAAGUGCAACAGAAAUAUACCGCCACGUUAGUGGUAAGGGUGGAAGGGCAGUGUAAGAGACUACCGCCUCGCUGGUAACAGAGAGGGCACAUGUAAACCCCAUCCGAAGCAAGACCGAAUUAAAGCAUAAGGCGGCCCGUCUGCUUUGGGUAGGUCGCGUGAGGUGUCUGGUAACAGACAUCCAAGAUAGAUGAUUAUUCUCGACAUAACCCGGCUUACAGUCCUGCUUAC
RNAcentral lists this RNase P RNA (332 nucleotides) under pig gut metagenome. Its description in RNAcentral is "Bacterial RNase P class A". It matches the Rfam family "Bacterial RNase P class A". From Rfam's summary of the family: Ribonuclease P (RNase P) is a ubiquitous endoribonuclease, found in archaea, bacteria and eukarya as well as chloroplasts and mitochondria. The record is from RNAcentral.